This 436-nucleotide long non-coding RNA is filed under the name Dromaius novaehollandiae (emu). Its description in RNAcentral is "lncRNA (ENSDNVG00000002277.1)". Lineage: Eukaryota; Metazoa; Chordata; Aves; Casuariiformes; Dromaiidae. The record is from RNAcentral.
UGUUGGACAGCUUAAGCACCCCCACAUUUACCAUGUUGUCUGGGUGACUCUCAUUCCCAGUCUCUGAACUAUUCUUAAUCCAAAGAUCUUCCUAUCCAGAAGGGAGACUAGAAGUUGAGCUGCUUAGAGGAGUACUGCAAACUGCAAACCUGCUCUUCUGGCUCAGGUGGAGACUACUGCAGACAGGAAUACUUUGCUUUUGCCAAGAGAGGAUUUUGGCUUCAGCCUCCAUUUUGCUAUUGUUUUUCCAACUGUGAACUCUUGACACUCUCACAAAAAUCUGAAGGUAAACUUUUUUAAUUGUUAUUUUAAAAUGUGAGAUCUUUAAGCUUCUUUCAGUGUUCAAAAAUAUGGUUAAUGUACGGUCUUCGUUUUCUUACAAUACCUACCUGCCCUGAAAAGACAGGUAGGCUGAAAUUCUAUUUUCUUCUAUGUA